This 199-nucleotide ribosomal RNA is filed under the name uncultured bacterium. RNAcentral describes it as "partial 16S ribosomal RNA". It matches the Rfam family "Bacterial small subunit ribosomal RNA", at positions 326 to 539 of the family's 1533-position model. The record is from RNAcentral.
ACGCUCGACACCUACGGGAAGCAGCAGUGGGGAAUAUUGCACAAUGGGGGAAACCCUGAUGCAGCGACGCCGCGUGGAGGAAGAAGGUCUUCGGAUUGUAAACUCCUGUUGUUGGGGAAAAAGAGGAUGGUACCCAACAAGGAAGUGACGGCUAACUACGUGUCAGCAGCCGCGGUAAUCUGAGGCGGGCUGGCAAGGC